CCUCGGGCGGCUGCAGUGGGGAAUAUUGCACAAUGGAGGAAACUCUGAUGCAGCAACGCCGCGUGGAGGAUGACACUUUUCGGAGCGUAAACUCCUUUUAUAUAGGAAGAAGAUGACGGUACUAUAUGAAUAAGCGCCGGCUAACUCCGUGCCAGCAGCCGCGGUAAUACGGAGGGCGCAAGCGUUACUCGGAAUCACUGGGCGUAAAGAGCGUGUAGGCGGAUUAAAAAGUCAGAAGUGAAAUCCUAUAGCUUAACUAUAGAACUGCUUCUGAAACUCUUAAUCUAGAAUAUGGGAGAGGUAGAUGGAAUUUCUGGUGUAGGGGUAAAAUCCGUAGAGAUCAGAAGGAAUACCGAUUGCGAAGGCGAUCUACUAGAACAUUAUUGACGCUGAGACGCGAAAGCGUGGGGAGCAAACAGGAUUAGAUACCCGCGUAGUC
This 439-nucleotide ribosomal RNA is filed under the name uncultured bacterium. Its description in RNAcentral is "partial 16S ribosomal RNA". It matches the Rfam family "Bacterial small subunit ribosomal RNA", at positions 339 to 795 of the family's 1533-position model. The record is from RNAcentral.